GAUGAACGCUGGCGGCGUGCCUAAUACAUGCAAGUCGAGCGAACAGACGAGGAGCUUGCUCCUCUGACGUUAGCGGCGGACGGGUGAGUAACACGUGGAUAACCUACCUAUAAGACUGGGAUAACUUCGGGAAACCGGAGCUAAUACCGGAUAAUAUAUUGAACCGCAUGGUUCAAUAGUGAAAGACGGCUUUGCUGUCACUUAUAGAUGUAUCCGCGCCGCAUUAUCUAGUUGGUAAGGUAACGGCUAACCAAGGCAACAAUGCGUAGCCGACCUGAGAGGGGGUGAGCCAACACUGGACGGGAGACACGUUCCAGACUCCUAGGGGAGGCAGCGGGAGGAAUAUUGCAGCAAUGGGCGAAAGCCUGACGAGGCAUAGCCGGGUGAGUGAGGAAGCUCUUCGGAUCGUAAAACCCUGUGUUUAGGAAAAAACAAAUGUGUAAGUAACUAUGCUCGUCUUGACGGUACCUAAUAAGAAAGCCAGGCCUAAUUACUU
RNAcentral lists this ribosomal RNA (496 nucleotides) under uncultured bacterium. RNAcentral's name for it is "partial 16S ribosomal RNA". It matches the Rfam family "Bacterial small subunit ribosomal RNA", at positions 28 to 506 of the family's 1533-position model. The record is from RNAcentral.